AAGUGUAACAGCUCUUUUAGAAUUUGUCUAGCAGGUUUUCUGGUCCUUACCGGAUAACCCUC
Molecule: small nuclear RNA, 62 nt
Filed under: Microcebus murinus (gray mouse lemur)
Lineage: Eukaryota; Metazoa; Chordata; Mammalia; Primates; Cheirogaleidae
Description: U7 small nuclear RNA (ENSMICG00000043388.1)
Rfam family: U7 small nuclear RNA
About the family: Animal histone pre-mRNAs are spliced by a different mechanism than nuclear pre-mRNAs and self-splicing introns. This processing involves the U7 snRNP, which contains only one RNA species: U7.
Source: Rfam by way of RNAcentral